This 70-nucleotide transfer RNA is filed under the name Toxorhamphus novaeguineae. RNAcentral's name for it is "tRNA-Ile". The record is from RNAcentral. Lineage: Eukaryota; Metazoa; Chordata; Aves; Passeriformes; Melanocharitidae.
GGAAGUGUGCCUGAAUCAAAGGAUCACUAUGAUAAAGUGAACAUGGAGGUAGCCAGUCCUCUCGCUUCCU